Molecule: ribosomal RNA, 30 nt
Filed under: Pseudofusicoccum adansoniae
Lineage: Eukaryota; Fungi; Ascomycota; Dothideomycetes; Botryosphaeriales; Botryosphaeriaceae
Description: partial 18S ribosomal RNA
Source: RNAcentral
GGAUCAUUACCGAGUUUUGGGUCUCUUCAC